Molecule: ribosomal RNA, 301 nt
Filed under: uncultured bacterium
Lineage: Bacteria
Description: partial 16S ribosomal RNA
Rfam family: Bacterial small subunit ribosomal RNA
Source: RNAcentral
CAGCCGCCGCGGGAAUACAGAGGGUGCGAGCGUUAAUCGGAUUUACUGGGCGUAAAGCGUGCGUAGGCGGCUUCUUAAGUCGGAUGUGAAAUCCCUGAGCUUAACUUAGGAAUUGCAUUCGAUACUGGGAAGCUAGAGUAUGGGAGAGGAUGGUAGAAUUCCAGGUGUAGCGGUGAAAUGCGUAGAGAUCUGGAGGAAUACCGAUGGCGAAGGCAGCCAUCUGGCCUAAUACUGACGCUGAGGUACGAAAGCAUGGGGAGCAAACAGGAUUAGAGACCCGUGUAGUCCCUGUCUCUUAUAC